GUCCUUGUAGUGCAAUGGAUAGCGUGUUGGAUUCUAAUUCCAAUCGUGGAUUGGAAUCCCACCAGGGACG
This is a non-coding RNA of Trichonephila clavata, 70 nucleotides long. The record is from the annotation of a GenBank genome assembly. NCBI's taxonomy places the organism in Eukaryota, Metazoa, Arthropoda, Arachnida, Araneae, Nephilidae.